CUCAACAUUUCAACAACUUCCAAUUGUUUAUUUUUCAAUUUUCAUUCUCUACAUGUCCUUACCUUGCCAUGCCCGAUUGAAUUCCAAAAUAAAAAUAGCCAAUGCCAUUAUACAAAAAGUACAUAUGUUUUGCAUAUGAUCCCAGAAAAUAUAUUUGUGAAGCUGACAAAUGAAUCUAAGUUGAAUUCAUAAAUACGGCAACGUUUUAAGGCUUCUAAUUGCUUAAGAAACUCACGUGCAGUUCAGCUGCUCUCAGCAGAAAUCAAAUGCAUCUAAACGACGUGUCUGAGGCGCGUUUUAGAUAAGCCACUUAAGUGACCACGUGAGGAAGCACAUGCGGGAGUCUGAAAUGAGUUCGUUAAGUUUGUUAUCCACGUGUUAACAAACUGAACGAUCUGGAAAUUCCUUCUUGGCCUCUGCAACAGAUUAUAAAAGCAGAGAAUGAGAGUCAGCAAAACAUGGUUCUAAGUGAGUCUUGUAGAGAGAGUUCUAGAGAGAGAAAGAGUGCAUCUUGUUCUCGAAUAGAAUCUUGUAAAGGCUCUGUGUAAGAUCUCCAUUGUAGAAUCAAUAAAAGCUCAUCAAAGACUUCUCCCGUGGAUGUAAACAGAGUGCUUUGUGCUCUGUUGAACCACGUAAUCUUUCUGGUUCUUGGUUGGUUUUAUCUUUUGAUUCUUGGUUCUUUCUGGUGCUUGGUUAAAUCUAAUUUGAUUACUUAAGCUGUGACAGAUUCUAUUCGAUCGUAAGCAUUGUGCAACUUGUGUUUGAUCUGAUCUAAGAAAUCUUGGGCAGUAACUAGUUUUGUUUAAGGUGAAAGAAUUGACAAGUUACUACAAUAUUGAAUUGAAUUAACAAUAUCUCCCCUAUCCUAUUCAUCACCAAAUCACAAACACAAUCUGAAUGUCAUUACUUUGUGCGGCUGACGACAACGAAUGAAAAAGGAGGCAGCAAGCCAACGAUUGCAACAACUGGAUCGAAAUUGACAGUGGUGCACCUAAACGAAACUGACAGCAGCUCAAGGAACGGCUAGAACUGCAACACCGAUGCACACAAAUGGAACUGACAGCUGCGGUGAUGUUCGGCUGUGUAUGUAUGAGAUUAAGUGCGUCUAUGCUCUGUUGUGUGUCGGGCGUGCUGUCUUGGCGUUGUGCUUGGCUGCUGCACUGUGGAGCACGAACACAAUUACACAAAGAAGAGGAAUUUGGAAUUUGGAAUUUAGGAUUUUUGUUUUGAUUCUGCCGAUUGGGUUUCUGAUUUCCGUUCAGGUUCAACUAAUAAGCUCAUAAUGUAAAUUAUAAAAAUUGUACCAAAGAUAUAUUUAUGAUUUUCCUUUUUACUUAAAAAUUGUACCAAAGAUAUAAACAAAAUAAAAAUUCUAUUACUAUAUUAAAACUUAUGAAAGUUGAGGGAUAUUAGUGAAAUAUCCCCACAUGUAGGUCCUCCCUAUGCAUGAGACGUGAGGUAAAUAUUAA
This 1469-nucleotide long non-coding RNA is filed under the name Citrus sinensis (sweet orange). RNAcentral's name for it is "long non-coding RNA (CSIN_LNC004341)". The record is from RNAcentral. Lineage: Eukaryota; Viridiplantae; Streptophyta; Magnoliopsida; Sapindales; Rutaceae.